RNAcentral lists this ribosomal RNA (426 nucleotides) under uncultured bacterium. RNAcentral describes it as "bacterial SSU rRNA". It matches the Rfam family "Bacterial small subunit ribosomal RNA", at positions 359 to 776 of the family's 1533-position model. The record is from RNAcentral.
GAAUAUUGCGCAAUGGGGGAAACCCUGACGCAGCGACGCCGCGUGGGUGACGAAGGCCUUCGGGUUGUAAAGCCCUGUCAAAAGGGAAGAGCGUAUUACAUGCUAAUAUCAUGUAGUAUUGACGGUACCUUUAAAGGAAGCACCGGCUAACUCCGUGCCAGCAGCCGCGGUAAUACGGAGGGUGCAAGCGUUGUUCGGAAUCACUGGGCGUAAAGGGCGCGUAGGCGGUUAUGUAAGUCAGAUGUGAAAGCCCAUGGCUCAACCAUGGAAUUGCAUUUGAAACUAUGUGACUUGAGUAUGAGAGGGGGAAAUGGAAUUCCCGGUGUAGAGGUGAAAUUCGUAGAUAUCGGGAGGAACACCUGUGGCGAAGGCGAUUUCCUGGAUCAUAACUGACGCUGAGGCGCGAAAGCGUGGGGAGCAAACAGG